UUAAGCGACUAAGCGUACACGGUGGAUGCCCUGGCAGUCAGAGGCGAUGAAGGACGUGCUAAUCUGCGAUAAGCGUCGGUAAGGUGAUAUGAACCGUUAUAACCGGCGAUUUCCGAAUGGGGAAACCCAGUGUGAUUCGUCACACUAUCAUUAACUGAAUCCAUAGGUUAAUGAGGCGAACCGGGGGAACUGAAACAUCUAAGUACCCCGAGGAAAAGAAAUCAACCGAGAUUCCCCCAGUAGCGGCGAGCGAACGGGGAGCAGCCCAGAGCCUGAAUCAGUGUGUGUGUUAGUGGAAGCGUCUGGAAAGGCGUGCGAUACAGGGUGACAGCCCCGUACACAAAAAUGCACAUAUUGUGAGCUCGAUGAGUAGGGCGGGACACGUGGUAUCCUGUCUGAAUAUGGGGGGACCAUCCUCCAAGGCUAAAUACUCCUGACUGACCGAUAGUGAACCAGUACCGUGAGGGAAAGGCGAAAAGAACCCCGGCGAGGGGAGUGAAAAAGAACCUGAAACCGUGUACGUACAAGCAGUGGGAGCACGCUUAGGCGUGUGACUGCGUACCUUUUGUAUAAUGGGUCAGCGACUUAUAUUCUGUAGCAAGGUUAACCGAAUAGGGGAGCCGAAGGGAAACCGAGUCUUAACUGGGCGUUAAGUUGCAGGGUAUAGACCCGAAACCCGGUGAUCUAGCCAUGGGCAGGUUGAAGGUUGGGUAACACUAACUGGAGGACCGAACCGACUAAUGUUGAAAAAUUAGCGGAUGACUUGUGGCUGGGGGUGAAAGGCCAAUCAAACCGGGAGAUAGCUGGUUCUCCCCGAAAGCUAUUUAGGUAGCGCCUCGUGAAUUCAUCUCCGGGGGUAGAGCACUGUUUCGGCAAGGGGGUCAUCCCGACUUACCAACCCGAUGCAAACUGCGAAUACCGGAGAAUGUUAUCACGGGAGACACACGGCGGGUGCUAACGUCCGUCGUGAAGAGGGAAACAACCCAGACCGCCAGCUAAGGUCCCAAAGUCAUGGUUAAGUGGGAAACGAUGUGGGAAGGCCCAGACAGCCAGGAUGUUGGCUUAGAAGCAGCCAUCAUUUAAAGAAAGCGUAAUAGCUCACUGGUCGAGUCGGCCUGCGCGGAAGAUGUAACGGGGCUAAACCAUGCACCGAAGCUGCGGCAGCGACACUAUGUGUUGUUGGGUAGGGGAGCGUUCUGUAAGCCUGUGAAGGUGUACUGUGAGGUAUGCUGGAGGUAUCAGAAGUGCGAAUGCUGACAUAAGUAACGAUAAAGCGGGUGAAAAGCCCGCUCGCCGGAAGACCAAGGGUUCCUGUCCAACGUUAAUCGGGGCAGGGUGAGUCGACUCCUAAGGCGAGGCCGAAAGGCGUAGUCGAUGGGAAACAGGUUAAUAUUCCUGUACUUGGUGUUACUGCGAAGGGGGACGGAGAAGGCUAUGUUGGCCGGGCGACGGUUGUCCCGGUUUAAGCGUGUAGGCUGGUUUUCCAGGCAAAUCCGGAAAACUAAGGCUGAGGCGUGAUGACGAGGCACUACGGUGCUGAAGCAACAAAUGCCCUGCUUCCAGGAAAAGCCUCUAAGCAUCAGGUAACAUCAAAUCGUACCCCAAACCGACACAGGUGGUCAGGUAGAGAAUACCAAGGCGCUUGAGAGAACUCGGGUGAAGGAACUAGGCAAAAUGGUGCCGUAACUUCGGGAGAAGGCACGCUGAUAUGUAGGUGAAGUCCCUCGCGGAUGGAGCUGAAAUCAGUCGAAGAUACCAGCUGGCUGCAACUGUUUAUUAAAAACACAGCACUGUGCAAACACGAAAGUGGACGUAUACGGUGUGACGCCUGCCCGGUGCCGGAAGGUUAAUUGAUGGGGUCAGCGCAAGCGAAGCUCUUGAUCGAAGCCCCGGUAAACGGCGGCCGUAACUAUAACGGUCCUAAGGUAGCGAAAUUCCUUGUCGGGUAAGUUCCGACCUGCACGAAUGGCGUAAUGAUGGCCAGGCUGUCUCCACCCGAGACUCAGUGAAAUUGAACUCGCUGUGAAGAUGCAGUGUACCCGCGGCAAGACGGAAAGACCCCGUGAACCUUUACUAUAGCUUGACACUGAACAUUGAGCCUUGAUGUGUAGGAUAGGUGGGAGGCUUUGAAGUGUGGACGCCAGUCUGCAUGGAGCCGACCUUGAAAUACCACCCUUUAAUGUUUGAUGUUCUAACGUUGACCCGUAAUCCGGGUUGCGGACAGUGUCUGGUGGGUAGUUUGACUGGGGCGGUCUCCUCCUAAAGAGUAACGGAGGAGCACGAAGGUUGGCUAAUCCUGGUCGGACAUCAGGAGGUUAGUGCAAUGGCAUAAGCCAGCUUGACUGCGAGCGUGACGGCGCGAGCAGGUGCGAAAGCAGGUCAUAGUGAUCCGGUGGUUCUGAAUGGAAGGGCCAUCGCUCAACGGAUAAAAGGUACUCCGGGGAUAACAGGCUGAUACCGCCCAAGAGUUCAUAUCGACGGCGGUGUUUGGCACCUCGAUGUCGGCUCAUCACAUCCUGGGGCUGAAGUAGGUCCCAAGGGUAUGGCUGUUCGCCAUUUAAAGUGGUACGCGAGCUGGGUUUAGAACGUCGUGAGACAGUUCGGUCCCUAUCUGCCGUGGGCGCUGGAGAACUGAGGGGGGCUGCUCCUAGUACGAGAGGACCGGAGUGGACGCAUCACUGGUGUUCGGGUUGUCAUGCCAAUGGCACUGCCCGGUAGCUAAAUGCGGAAGAGAUAAGUGCUGAAAGCAUCUAAGCACGAAACUUGCCCCGAGAUGAGUUCUCCCUGACUCCUUGAGAGUCCUGAAGGAACGUUGAAGACGACGACGUUGAUAGGUCGGGUGUGUAAGCGCAGCGAUGCGUUGAGCUAACCGGUACUAAUGAACCGUGAGGCUUAACCUU
RNAcentral lists this ribosomal RNA (2900 nucleotides) under Shigella dysenteriae. RNAcentral's name for it is "bacterial LSU rRNA". It matches the Rfam family "Bacterial large subunit ribosomal RNA". The record is from RNAcentral. Lineage: Bacteria; Pseudomonadati; Pseudomonadota; Gammaproteobacteria; Enterobacterales; Enterobacteriaceae.